GAUGAAGAACGCAGCAAAAUGCGAUAAGUAAUGUGAAUUGCAGAAUUCAGUGAAUCAUCGAAUCUUUGAACGCACAUUGCGCCCGCUGGUAUUCCGGCGGGCAUGCCUGUUCGAGCAUCAUUUCAACCCUCAAGCCCCCGGGUUUGGUGUUGGGGAUCGGCUCUGCCCUUCUGGGCGGUGCCGCCCCCGAAAUACAUUGGCGGUCUCGCUGCAGCCUCCAUUGCGUAGUAGCUAACACCUCGCAACUGGAACGCGGCGCAACCAUGCCGUAAAACCCCAACUUCUGAAUGUUGACCUCGGAUCAGGUAGGAAUACCCGCUGAACUUAAGCAUAUCAAUAAGCGGAGGA
RNAcentral lists this unclassified non-coding RNA (348 nucleotides) under soil metagenome. RNAcentral's name for it is "partial contains 5.8S ribosomal RNA, internal transcribed spacer 2, and large subunit ribosomal RNA". The stretch from base 1 to 120 matches the Rfam family "5.8S ribosomal RNA", at positions 35 to 154 of the family's 154-position model. The record is from RNAcentral.